Populus nigra (black poplar) is the source of this 1695-nucleotide RNA transcript. It is a transcript of the gene named phospholipase A(1) LCAT3, with no coding region annotated. The transcript has 12 exons. The record is from RefSeq and is a predicted model, not a curated record. NCBI's taxonomy places the organism in Eukaryota, Viridiplantae, Streptophyta, Magnoliopsida, Malpighiales, Salicaceae.
CUUAUCGAUUUGCACGCGCAUCAAGAACAAAAAUUAAAGACUGCAAUAAAUAUUAAAGGAAAAUGGACCGACGGCCACCACCAACCAUCCUGACUGGCACUCUCUAGUCUCUGCCAUUCUCAAACCCGAACCCGAAUACAUUCCCGUUUCAACCCAAUCAUGCUACAAGACUUCAGUUUCUGCCCAUGUUUCGGAGACCGAAGCUUCGACGAUACCGAACCCGAUCGUGACCCGGUACUACUGAUUUCCGGAAUCGCAGGGUCCAUUCUCCAUUCAAAGAAGAAGAACGGGUCUGAGACUCGGGUUUGGGUCAGGCUUCUCUUGGCUGAUUUGGAGUUCAAGAAGAAAAUAUGGUCUGUUUAUAAUCCAAAAACAGGUUAUACUGAAGUAUUGGACAGUGACACUGAGAUUGUAGUCCCUGAUGAUGAUUCUGGGCUAUACGCAAUUGACAUUUUAGAUCCGUCAUGGUUUGUGAAACUUAUUCAUUUGUCAGGGGUUUAUCAUUUUCAUGACAUGAUUGAUAUGCUUGUUAAAUGUGGAUAUAAGAAGGGAACCACAUUGUUUGGAUAUGGUUAUGAUUUUCGGCAAAGCAACAGAAUUGAAAAAUCAAUGGAAGGUCUUAAAGCAAAGUUGGAAGCUGCCUAUAAAGCUUCCGGGGGUAGAAAAGUUAAUAUAAUUUCACAUUCCAUGGGUGGACUGCUGGUUUCUUGUUUCAUUUCACUUCACAAAGAUUUGUUUUCCGAGUUUGUGAAUAAGUGGAUCUGCAUUGCCUGUCCUUUCCAAGGUGCACCGGGAUGCAUCAAUGACUCUCUCUUAACUGGAUUGCAGUUUGUUGAUGGUUUCGAGAGUUACUUUUUUGUUUCUAGGUGGACAAUGCACCAACUGUUGGUUGAGUGCCCGUCGAUCUAUGAAAUGUUGCCGAAUCCAGAUUUUAAUUGGAAAACAGAACCACAAAUUCAAGUUUGGCGAAAGCAAUCAAAUGAUGUGGAAACUCCUGCCAAAUUGGAGUCCUUUGGUCCUGUUGAAUGUAUCACUCUAUUUGAAGAAGCGUUGAAGAAUAACGAGUUAAAUUAUAAUGGAAACACCAUAGCGCUACCAUUCAACCUCUCUAUCCUCAAAAGGGCUGCUGGUACUCGUCAGAUUCUCAAUAAUGUUCAAUUGCCAGAAGGGGUCUCCUUCUAUAACAUUUAUGGGGCAUCAUUUGACACACCUUUUGAUGUCUGCUAUGGUACAGAGACAUCCCCAGUAGAGGACCUGUCUGAAGUGUGCCAUUCAAUGCCCCAGUAUUCUUAUGUAGAUGGAGAUGGAACUGUUCCUUCUGAAUCAGCAAAGUCAAUUGCCAAAACAUUAUAGCAACUGAAGUUCUCUGUUGGAGUGUGACCAAAGAUGAAAUAGUGGGCAGUCCUGAAUAAAAGAGGGUUCAUGCAUCAUUUUGCAGAAUUUUAUGUUUGUAGAUGCAGUGAAGGGAGAGGUGCCAUAUAAAAACCAUAAUGUUCAAUAGCUUAAUGCCGCACUCAUUUUUACCAUGGGUUCACAUGAUGUCAAAAUAUUUAAUGCAGACGGUUUUGUGGCAGUGGAAAGAGUAGGAGUUACUGCUAAUCACCGUGGACUGCUGUGUGACAAAACAACAUUUCAACUUAUCCAGAAAUGGUUGGGAGUUGAGCAGAAUGUCAGUAAGCAUCCAAAGACAUCCCA